AAAUGGGUGUUUAAGGAAUGCUAACCAUGGAAUCAACCAGGGCAGAAAAGACCUUUAAGCUCACAAAGUCCAACCGUUCCCAGCACUGCCAAGGCCACCACUAACCCAUGGCACUGA
This is a long non-coding RNA of Strigops habroptila (Kakapo), 117 nucleotides long. RefSeq lists it as uncharacterized. The record is from RefSeq and is a predicted model, not a curated record. The transcript has 3 exons. NCBI's taxonomy places the organism in Eukaryota, Metazoa, Chordata, Aves, Psittaciformes, Psittacidae.